CCUACGGGUGGCAGCAGUGAGGAAUCUUGGUCAAUGGACGAGAGUCUGAUCCAGCCAAGUAGCGUGAAGGAUGACUGCCCUAUGGGUUGUAAACUUCUUUUAUAUGGGAAUAAAGUGUGGCACGUGUGGGAUUAUGUGUGUACCAUAUGAUUAAGGAUCGGCUAACUCCGUGCCAGCAGCCGCGGUAAUACGGAGGAUCCGAGCGUUAUCCGGAUUUAGUGGGUAUAAAGGGAGCGCAGGUGGAUUGUUAAGUCAGUAGUGAAAGUGUGGGGCUCAAACGUAAAAUUGCAGUUAAAACUGGCAGUCUUGAGUACAGUAGAGGUGAGCGGAAUUCGUGGUGUAGCGGUGAAAUGCGUAGAUAUCACGAAGAACUCCGAUUGCGAAGGCAGCUCACUGGACUGCAACUGACACUGAGGCACGAAAGCGUGGGGAUCAAACAGGAUUAGAUACCCGAGUAGUC
RNAcentral lists this ribosomal RNA (460 nucleotides) under uncultured bacterium. Its description in RNAcentral is "partial 16S ribosomal RNA". It matches the Rfam family "Bacterial small subunit ribosomal RNA", at positions 338 to 795 of the family's 1533-position model. The record is from RNAcentral.